RNAcentral lists this ribosomal RNA (937 nucleotides) under Platypus quercivorus. RNAcentral's name for it is "eukaryotic LSU rRNA". It matches the Rfam family "Eukaryotic large subunit ribosomal RNA", at positions 42 to 634 of the family's 3401-position model. Lineage: Eukaryota; Metazoa; Arthropoda; Insecta; Coleoptera; Curculionidae. The record is from RNAcentral.
AUUAUUAAGCGGUGGAAAAGAAACUAACUAGGAUUCCUUUAGUAGCUGCGAGCGAACAAGGAUAAGCCCAGCACCGAAUCCCGCGUCUAAAUUAAUGGACGUUAGGAAAUGUGGUGUUAGGGAGGAUACAUUAUCCCAAGAUAUUUAUAACGUGUCCAAGUCCUUCUUGAACGAGGCCAUUGUCCAUAGAGGGUGCCAGGCCCGUAUAGACCGUUAAAUAUCAUGGGAGUAUCUCUCCUAAGAGUCGGGUUGCUUGAGAGUGCAGCCCUAAGUGGGUGGUAAACUCCAUCUAAGGCUAAAUAUUACCACGAGACCGAUAGCGAACAAGUACCGUGAGGGAAAGUUGAAAAGCACUUUGAAGAGAGAGUUCAAUAGUACGUGAAACCGUUUAGGGGUAAACCUGAGAAACCCGAAAGGUCGAAGGAAGAAAUUCAUUCGUGAAUCACCAUUGACAGAAUUGUGUAUGUUAGACAAUAUAUAUAUGGAACUGAUUAUUCUAUUAAUUUAGGAUAAUUGGAUUUAUUUUCUUUUUAUUGCUACAUAUCUAUUUUGAUUCUGAUAGUGAACACGUGCAUUUUUCUUCUGGUAGGACGUCGCGAUCCGUUAGGAUAAAUUUUUAUCGGUCUAUGAUAUAUGGUUAUAGUUCAUUGAUACAUGUAUAAUUUUUAUUGUAUAUGAUAAUAUUAAUGAAUCUAUAUAUUCUGGCUGAUUUACCUGACGGUAUAGUGAAUGGUUAAGGGUCGCUUGCUAUAURGCGUUAGAGGUUAGACAAGUGUAGUAAUUGUUAAAAAACAUUAUUAUUAUUAUUUUUAUAAUGAUAAUGAUAGUGUUGGUCGGUAAUCGGUAUUUAUAUCAAUUCCGAGCUAUUAUUAUACUGUUGGUCURGCAUAUCUCUGACUGACCUUAUUAUUUUUUUUUUAAAAAGUAAUACCAAUCA